AUACUUACCUGGCAGGGGAGAUACCAUGAUCAUGAAGGUGGUUUUCCCAGGGUGAGGCUCAUCCAUUGCACUGCGGGUGUGCUGACCCCUGCGAUUUCCCCAAAUGCGGGAAACUCGACUGCAUAAUUUGUGGUAGUGGGGGACUGCGUUCGCGCUCUCCCCUG
Chrysemys picta bellii (western painted turtle) is the source of this 164-nucleotide small nuclear RNA. Its record names the gene U1. It matches the Rfam family "U1 spliceosomal RNA". From Rfam's summary of the family: U1 is a small nuclear RNA (snRNA) component of the spliceosome (involved in pre-mRNA splicing). Its 5' end forms complementary base pairs with the 5' splice junction, thus defining the 5' donor site of an intron. Lineage: Eukaryota; Metazoa; Chordata; Testudines; Emydidae. The record is from Ensembl.